GAUGAACGCUGGCGGCGUGCCUAAUACAUGCAAGUCGAGCGAACAGACGAGGAGCUUGCUCCUCUGACGUUAGCGGCGGACGGGUGAGUAACACGUGGAUAACCUACCUAUAAGACUGGGAUAACUUCGGGAAACCGGAGCUAAUACCGGAUAAUAUAUUGAACCGCAUGGUUCAAUAGUGAAAGACGGUUUUGCUGUCACUUAUAGAUGGAUCCGCGCCGCAUUAGCUAGUUGGUAAGGUAACGGCUUACCAAGGCGACGAUGCGUAGCCGACCUGAGAGGGUGAUCGGCCACACUGGAACGGAGACACGGUCAAGACUCCUGCGGGAGGCAGCAGUAGGGAAUAUUCCGCAAUGGGCGAAAGCCUGACGGAGCAACGCCGCGUGAGUGAUGAAGGUCUUCGGAUCGUAAAACUCUGUUAUUAGGGAAGAACAAAUGUGUAAGUAACUAUGCACGUCUUGACGGUACCUAAUCAGAAAGCAACGGCUAACUACGUG
RNAcentral lists this ribosomal RNA (497 nucleotides) under uncultured bacterium. RNAcentral's name for it is "partial 16S ribosomal RNA". It matches the Rfam family "Bacterial small subunit ribosomal RNA", at positions 28 to 507 of the family's 1533-position model. The record is from RNAcentral.